GAGUUGUCAUCAAGGCUGUCAUUUUUUUUCAUCCGCGCGCGUGUUCGAUCCUGUUUGUGUGGCGCAGUUGAAAUCAAAAAUUCUCAAGUCGAAUCGCGUGUGCUCGUGAAGGAACAACAUCCGGCGUUCGGAACAAAUACACCGGGUGACCGAACCGGAACGGCGGGAUGGCGGAAUUUUCGCAUAUUUGGGGACUUCUUCUACCAGGCCCGGCGCCUGCUGCGGACACUUCCGGCCGGAUUUGUUCAGGAUGGUCGUUUCGUCUGGAGGCGAAAAUCGUUAGGGGCCUAUUCCACAGAGGAUUGUGCUUCAUAAAUACGCGAGAGUUCAUCCCAAGUACGAAGCAGUAGUUCCGGCACCGGCUACACAUAUUUCGAACAACGUCAGAAAGUUCGGAUUGAAGCAGAAUAUUGAAAGAAAACGACGCGGAAAAAAAGUACUAUUUUUUUUAAAUCAACGAAAAAAACUAUAAAAAUACAAUAAAACUUACCAUAUUGACCAUUAA
Molecule: long non-coding RNA, 505 nt
Organism: Culex pipiens pallens (northern house mosquito)
Lineage: Eukaryota; Metazoa; Arthropoda; Insecta; Diptera; Culicidae
Exons: 3
Source: RefSeq, a predicted model, not a curated record